Molecule: ribosomal RNA, 769 nt
Filed under: Ammonia sp. genotype T6
Lineage: Eukaryota; Foraminifera; Rotaliida; Rotaliidae
Description: SSU rRNA
Rfam family: Eukaryotic small subunit ribosomal RNA
Source: RNAcentral
CUUAAAUUGCGUAUCAAUAAUAGAGACCUAGUAUACGCGUAGACUCAUGCGGUAGUGACCCCCCUUCACAGGGCGCGUGUCGCACGUAUGUUAUACGCACAGGUCUCCGAUAGCAACGAACGUGACCGUACUCUAUUGUUGCAGCGACAAUACCUUUCAACGGGUAUUACCGCUGCUUAGCAAGAUUCGUCUUGCAUUAAACUAUAGAGACCGCUGUUUCUUCUUUAAACCAGAGGAAGGAUACGGCAAUAACAGGUCUGUGAUGCCCUCAGAUGUUCCGGGCUGCACACGUGCUACAAUGAUCAUUGCACUGUGCAUCUAACCCAAUGUGCGCGGACGCCGCCGUGCGUAUAUACUUUAUUGUGUAUGCGUAUCGUGCGUGCGACCGCGCCGAACCUGCUUCGAAAGUAAACAUUUCCAGCGGGUAAUCCAUUAGAAGUAAUGACUCGCAUAGACCAUGGCACACUAUAUGUACCCGCGGGUUCUACCCGGCUCGCCUUUGUGUGAGUGCAGUGCGUAGCUCGUUGUUUGGUACGUGCCACUCCGUAUUAAUUCAUACGUGGGGAUAGAUCAUUGUUUAAUUGUUGGUCUCGGUCUUAACUAGGAAUGCCUUGUACGGGUCUUUGGUUCAACAUACCACCCGGAAUACGUCCCUGCCCUUUGUACACACCGCCCGUCGCUCUUACCGAUGGAUUAUACUAUGAAUCUAUAGGACUGCCAAAGUUGCUCUUCGCGGCGCGCUUAGUGGAAAUAUAUAGAAUAGUGGAUC